AUACGUAGGGGGCGAGCGUUGUCCGGAAUGAUUGGGCGUAAAGGGCGCGUAGGCGGCCCGGUAAGUCUGGAGUGAAAGUCCUGUUUUUAAGAUGGGAAUUGCUCUGGAUACUGUCGGGCUUGAGUGCAGGAGAGGUAAGUGGAAUUCCCAGUGUAGCGGUGAAAUGCGUAGAGAUUGGGAGGAACACCAGUGGCGAAGGCGACUUACUGGACUGUAACUGACGCUGAGGCGCGAAAGCGUGGGGAGCAAACAGGAUUAGAUACCCUGGUAGUCCACGCGGUAAACGAUGAAUACUAGGUGUCGGGUGGCAACAGCCAUUCGGUGCCGCAGCAAACGCAAUAAGUAUUCCACCUGGGGAGUACGUUCGCAAGAAUGAAACUCAAAUGAAUUGACGGGG
Molecule: ribosomal RNA, 397 nt
Filed under: uncultured bacterium
Lineage: Bacteria
Description: partial 16S ribosomal RNA
Rfam family: Bacterial small subunit ribosomal RNA
Source: RNAcentral